This 253-nucleotide ribosomal RNA is filed under the name uncultured bacterium. RNAcentral describes it as "partial 16S ribosomal RNA". It matches the Rfam family "Bacterial small subunit ribosomal RNA", at positions 524 to 776 of the family's 1533-position model. The record is from RNAcentral.
UACGUAGGGUGCGAGCGUUAAUCGGAAUUACUGGGCGUAAAGUGUGCGUAGGCGGGUCUUUAAGUCAGGGGUGAAAUCCUGGAGCUCAACUCCAGAACUGCCUUUGAUACUGAAGAUCUUGAGUUCGGGAGAGGUGAGUGGAACUGCGAGUGUAGAGGUGAAAUUCGUAGAUAUUCGCAAGAACACCAGUGGCGAAGGCGGCUCACUGGCCCGGUACUGACGCUGAGGUGCGAAAGCGUGGGGAGCAAACAGG